AUUGAACGCUGGCGGCGGGCCUAACACAUGCAAGUCGAACGAGUGGCGGACGGGUGAGUAAUGUCUGGGAAACUGCCUGAUGGAGGGGGAUAACUACUGGAAACGGUAGCUAAUACCGCAUACCAUCAGAUGUGCCCAGAUGGGAUUAGCUUGUUGGUGGGGUAACGGCUCACCAAGGCCACGAUCCCUAGCUGGUCUGAGAGGAUGACCAGCCACCCUGGAACGGAGACACUGUCCAGACUCCUACGGGAGGCAGCAGUGGGGAAUAUUGCACUAUGGGCGAAAGCCUGAGAGAGACAUGCCGCGUGUAUGAAGAGGGCCUUCGGGUUGUAAAGUACUUUCAGCGGGGAGGCGUUACCCGCAGAAGAAGCACCGGCUAACUCCGUGCCAGCAGCCGCGGUAAUUC
Molecule: ribosomal RNA, 406 nt
Filed under: uncultured bacterium
Lineage: Bacteria
Description: partial 16S ribosomal RNA
Rfam family: Bacterial small subunit ribosomal RNA
Source: RNAcentral